Molecule: long non-coding RNA, 3146 nt
Organism: Poecile atricapillus (Black-capped chickadee)
Lineage: Eukaryota; Metazoa; Chordata; Aves; Passeriformes; Paridae
Exons: 3
Source: RefSeq, a predicted model, not a curated record
AUGGGGACACUCCGGAGGGGACACGGCGAUCCCGGGGGACACGGGGCUCAGGCGGCACCGGGGACACCGGGAGAUGGGGCGCGUGUGGCUUUGGGGACAUCUCGCCUCCUCCCGGGGCCCAUCCUGUGGGACUGCGGUCUGGGGACACCUCAUCAAAAUCCUCAAAGACUUUUUGGGGCUUUUCCGUUCCCUUUUCUCCCUUCCCCUUUUUAUUUUCCUUUUUUUUUUUCAAUACUUUUCCCCUUUCUGAGCCCUUGGCUGGGUCCGGCUCUCCUUCAUCCGCGGGGACAGAAAUUUCCAGUGAGGAUUGGGGUGAGAAUGGGAUUUUCCCAUUUAUUUCUCAUUAAUUAAUUGUCACGAUGUCUUUUUCCGAAUUUCUCAGGUUCAGGCUCUUCCCAGAGGAUCUUUCCGGGGGUGGCGAAGCUCGGCUGGGCUGUCGGGCACCUGCUCUAGAUGGCAGCAGCCUCCUUCCCUUCCCCGAGCCUCAUUCCCCGCUCUUCAUCCCCAUCCCCACCCCUCCUCCUCCUCAUCCAUCUCCCUUCCCCCCUCUUCAUCCAUCCCCCCAUCCCUCCUCGGUGUCCCCCCAUGGAAUUCAGCCUUUGGAGCACCCUGGGGUGGUGGAAUUGUCGCUGCCCUGGGAACGGGACGGGCUUGAAGGUCCCCUCCAACCCAAACCAUUCCUGUCUGUCCCUCGCUGCUGUCCCCAGAGCGGGCUGUGGGGUGACAAACCCCGGGAGCAUCCCUGAUUUUGGGGGAUGGAGUCUUUGGGAUGGAGGGAUGCGGGUCUGGAGCAGCUCGUGCAGCACAGCCGAGCCUGGAUCCUCCGAGCAUUCCUGGCUGGAGACACCAAAAAAUUCCCCUGGAGCUGUUCUGCCUCUCACAGCUCGCGCUGAGCCCCCAUCCUGCGGCUCCUUUGGGGUCAGGGACGCUGAAACCCAGCCUGAUCCAUCCCGGAGCUCAUCCCGCUCCCCAAAGCCUCGGUGACAUCCCUAAAACCUCGGGAACAUCCCAAAAACCCAGGAAUUUGGCUCCCUGGAGCGGAACGAGCGGCGUCAGCAGGAGCCAGGUGGAAAAGAGCUCAGAGCUGAGGAGAAGCAAAGUCUGGGGCUGGGAUUUUUUCCUGUUUUAUUUGGUUUUGUUUGGGUUUUUUUUGUUGUUGUUUUUUUUCUUUUUUUGUUUGGCUUUUUGGUGGCUUUUUUGGGGGUUUUUUGGGGUUUUUUUUGUUUUGUUUUGUAGAUCGGACUUCAAAUUCAGGGGAAGCUCAGCAGAAAUUCAUCCAGGAGGAUUUUAGGGAGAGAUAAAAAUACCUGGAGGGGUUUAGAGGGGAAAAAGUAAAAAAGAAAGGAAAGGAAAGGAAAGGAAAGGAAAGGAAAGGAAAGGAAAGGAAAGGAAAGGAAAGGAAAGGAAAGGAAAGGAAAGGAAAGGAAAGGAAAGGAAAGGAAAGGAAAGGAAAGGAAAGGAAAGGAAAGGAAAGGAAAGGAAAGGAAAGGAAAGGAAAGGAAAGGAAAGGAAAGGAAAGGAAAGGAAAGGGAAAAGGGAAAAGGGAAAAGGGAAAAGGGAAAAGGGAAAAGGGAAAAGGGAUGCCACUGUGGGAUAUCCCAGGAUAUCCCAGAAUCCCGGACUGCUUUUGGGCUGGAGGGACCUUAAAGCCCGUCCAGGGCCACCCCAGGGGCACCUUCUGCCAUCCCAGGUGGCUUCAAGGCCCGUCCAACCUGGCCUGGGACACUUCCAGGGACGGGGCAGCCGCAGCUUUCCUGGAAAUUCCAUUCCAGACCCUCAAGGGGAUGGAAUUCCACCCCAAACCCUCACCCCGAUGGGCGCCUGCUCCGAGGGAACCUCGGGAUGGAAAUGAGGAUGGGGAGAGGAGGAGGAGGAGCCACGACGCUCCCGUUCCUUCCCCCAGCUCCCACCUGCUGAGGGUUUUUCACCUUUUGACCCAAAAUUUGCCUUCCGGGCCCUCGGCACUGCCCACCCCGGGCAGCAGCUGCGGGUAACACCUGGAUUUUCCAGAGCUGUGGACCUUGGCCCUGUUCCCCAGCACCUGGUGACCAGGUUUUCCAAAGCAAAGUCGUUUUCCUGGUUAUUGCUCCUGCCCGGAGAGCCCCGGGAACAGCUGGGAAACAGCCGGAUUUACCGGAUCACGGAUCCUUCCUCCUCCUCCUUCCUCCUCCUCCCUCCUCCCCGGAGCGGGGACAGCUCCGUGGGGGCUGGAUCUGGGAACAAAAGGAGGAAAAUCAUCCGGGAUGGGGACAGCCCUGUUCGUUUCCCGAGAGCUGGGAACAGCCCGGAGUUUUAUCCUGAGAGUUUGUCCUUGAGGCCUUUUUUUUGUGUUUUCCUCCCCCUUUUAAAGGAACAUUUCACCCACGGGAAUAACUGGGAUUGAGAUCCCAGAAAUGUCAAAGACCCAAAGGAGAAAGGAAAAAGGAAAAGUUGAGGAAAUGAGGAGGUCCCGGCUCGUCCUGGUGCGAGGGAUGGUUACAAAUCCCACCUUGGGGAAAAACAUUGAUUUUCUUUCUCCUCUCUCUGGGUUAUUGGUGGGAAUUGAUGACCUCAGCGGGCUUUUCCAACCUGAAAAAUUCCGCUUUUCCACGAUUUUCUGGAUGCUCGGCUCUGGCUGGACUCAGAUCCGAGGUGUCUGCAGCAAAUCUGGGAAUUGUUUCAGGAAGAAGCCGAGUGGGCACGGAAAGACCGGGAGAACAAGACCCAUCACGUUCCCCAAGUGCUAAUGAGGGAAUGAAAUUAAACCGCCCGCGAGACCAAAACUCUCCAAAAUUCCUUCCUCAAGAGCAGCAUCCCCUCCACAAUUCCAUGGACAAUCCAGAAAUGAAUCACAGGCGGGAUUGAGGAACGGAUAAUUCCUAAAGCUGCUGCUCCAACCCAAUAAAACCCCGCUUAGUAUCACAUAAUUUGUGUUAAUUCCGGAAUUGCUGCUAAUUCCGGCCCAAUUAGGAGAUAAAACACGGCGGUGGAGCCGCUUAUUAAAUUACAAAUCAUCCCGGCUAAAUCCGAGGAUUAUUUAACACCGAGGGUUUCGGGAAGACGCUCGGGAAUCUGCGCCGGAAUAACGAUGUCAGGGGAGCAGGAGCGUUAAUCAAAGUAAUGAAAACAUAAAUUAGGGGAGGCUGGGCCAAUAAAUAGGAAAUAAA